CCUCCCGGUUCGUGUUCCCGCCGCCGCCGUCGUCGCCGUCUCAGGCCGGCCUUCCCGGCAGCCUUCCCGCGAGGCCGCCGCCGCCUCCGUCCGCCCGAGCCGGCCCGAAGCAACCGCCGGAGCGUUAAGUCGGAGGGCGCGCCGCCGCGGGCCGCCGGUCCAGGGCCAUGAGCUACGGCCGCCCGCCUCCCGACGUGGAGGGCAUGACCUCCCUCAAGGUGGACAACCUGACGUACCGCACCUCGCCCGACACGCUGCGGCGCGUCUUCGAGAAGUACGGCCGCGUGGGCGACGUGUACAUCCCGCGCGACCGCUACACCAAGGAGUCCCGCGGCUUCGCCUUCGUGCGCUUCCACGACAAGCGCGACGCCGAGGACGCCAUGGACGCCAUGGACGGGGCGGUGCUGGACGGGCGCGAGCUGCGGGUGCAGAUGGCGCGCUACGGCCGCCCGCCCGACUCGCACCACAGCCGCCGCGGCCCGCCGCCCCGGCGCUACGGGGGCGGCGGCUACGGCCGGCGGAGCCGCAGCCCGCGCCGCCGCCGCCGCUCCCGCUCGCGCUCCCGCAGCCGCUCCCGCUCCCGCAGCCGCUCGCGCUACAGCCGCUCCAAGUCGCGCUCCCGCACCCGCUCGCGCUCGCGCUCCACGUCCAAGUCCCGCUCGGCGCGGAGGUCCAAGUCCAAGUCGUCGUCGGUGUCGCGCUCCCGCUCGCGGUCGCGCUCCCGCUCGCGCUCCCGCAGCCCGCCGCCCGUGUCCAAGAGGGAGUCCAAGUCGCGCUCGCGCUCCAAGAGCCCCCCGAAGUCGCCCGAGGAGGAGGGCGCCGUGUCGUCGUAGGCCAACGCUGCGGUCUCCUGUUUGAUAAGAGAAUAUUGGCCAGUUUUGCCGAUUUUAACUGAUUUGGCUGAUCCUCCAGGGACCAGUUUCUGUGGGCGUGUGUUGGAGCAGGUUUGUCUUGACGCGUUAAAGAUGCACUAUCCUCUUAGCAUCGGCGCAGCCUUUGUUGUGCCGGCCGGGAGUGAGGCGCCAGGGAGGUGGCGAACGCUGUGCAGUCAGCGGCGACCGUUUGGACCCCAGAGAGUUCGCAGAUGCGCCCGCCAGCGUCCUAGCGGAAGACCCGGAGCAGAAAGGACCUCAGACUCAGUCCAUCCAAGAGUCCUUGGAGCAAGCAACUGGCUGUUGAAAAGGUUAUUUUGUAACAUUUUGUCUAACUUUUUACCUGUUUUAAGCUUUGCCUCAGGUGGCAAACUUCAUUUUUAUGUGCCAUUUUGUUGCUGUUAUUCAAAUUUCUUGUAAUUUAGUGAGGUGAACGACAUCAGAUUUCAUUAUUGACUUGGAUAUUUGAGGUAAAAUUUCCUUUUUGUUACAUAGCGCUGACUUUUUUUGUUUGAAAUUGAACAGAUUGGUAACCUAAUUUGUGGCCUCCUGACUUGUAAGGAAACGUGUGCAGCCAUUUCGCACAGCCUAAAUGUCGAGAUUGCCUCAGCAUUGCCUUCAUUCCUUAAAAUUAGAAACCCACAAAAGUUGGUGUCGAUUUGUAUAUGUUAUUUGCCUUCGGUAAUCUGAACCCAAAUUUGUGUAAAGACUUUUCAGGUGAAAAGACUUGAUUUUUUGAAAGGAUCGUUUACCAAACACAAUUCUAAUCUCUUCUCUUAUGUAUUUUUGUGCACUAGGCGCAGUUGUGUAGCAGUUGAGUAAUGCUGGUUAGCUGUUAAGGUGGCGUGUUGCAGUGCAGAGUGCUUGGCUGUUUCCUGUUUUCUCCUGAUUGCUCCUGUGUAAAGCUGCCUUGUCGUGCAGAAACAAAUGGCUGUCCAGUUUAUUAAAAUGCCUGACAACUGCACUUCCAGUCACCCGGGCCUUGCAUAUAGAUAACGGAGCAUACAGUGAGCACAUCUAGCUGAUGAUAAAUACACAUUUUUUCUCUCCCAACCCCCCUCCCAUGGUCAAUCCAAUUCUCAUGUAUGAACUUAAAAAAAUACGGAAAUGUUAAGGAAGCAAAUGGUUUGUAACUUUGUAAGUACUUAUGACAUGGUGUAUCUUUGCUCAUGAAUAUCCUGUACUAUAACCAUUGUUUCUGUAGUUUUAAUUAAAACGUUUCUUGGUGUUAGCUUUUCUCAGAA
RNA transcript from Sorex fumeus (smoky shrew), 2116 nucleotides. It is a transcript of the gene named serine and arginine rich splicing factor 2, with no coding region annotated. The transcript has 4 exons. Lineage: Eukaryota; Metazoa; Chordata; Mammalia; Eulipotyphla; Soricidae. The record is from RefSeq and is a predicted model, not a curated record.